GAUGAAGAACGCAGCGAAAUGCGAUAAGUAGUGUGAAUUGCAGAAUUCAGUGAAUCAUCGAAUCUUUGAACGCACAUUGCGCCCUUUGGUAUUCCUUAGGGCAUGCCUGUUCGAGCGUCAUUUGAAACCUCAAGCUCAGCUUGGUGUUGGGUGUCUGUCCCCGCCUCACCGCGGGGACUCGCCUCAAAAUCAUUGGCGGCCGGUACGUUGGCUUCGAGCGCAGCAGAAACGCGAACUCGAGGCCCGGCGGAUCGGCGACCAGAAGUCACUUCUUCACAGUUUGACCUCGGAUCAGGUAGGGAUACCCGCUGAACUUAAGCAUAUCAAUAAGCGGAGGA
This 338-nucleotide unclassified non-coding RNA is filed under the name soil metagenome. RNAcentral's name for it is "partial contains 5.8S ribosomal RNA, internal transcribed spacer 2, and large subunit ribosomal RNA". The stretch from base 1 to 120 matches the Rfam family "5.8S ribosomal RNA", at positions 35 to 154 of the family's 154-position model. The record is from RNAcentral.